GACCAUCAGCCGGUCCAAACGAGCCGCUCGGUCUGGCUCGGGCUUUCGUCGUAUCUAAGUGCGGCGGUUCUAGAGUUCUUUAAGACAGGAAGUAUGCGUGAGGGGGUGAAUGACACGGCUAUCGUUCUUAUCCCGAAAGUUCCCUUUCCUAAGGAACUAAAGGAUUUUAGACCGAUAAGCCUAUGUAAUGUUAUCUAUAAGAUCGUUUCAAAGUGCUUGGUCAACAGGCUACGGCCGAUGCUUGCGGAGUUAAUAUCAAAAAAUCAGAGUGCCUUUGUCCCAGGGAGGCUUAUCUCUGACAAUUCUAUAAUUGCUUUUGAAUGCCUUCAUCAUAUACAAUCAUUGAAACAGACCAGGCAGGCAGCGUGUGCUUAUAAGCUUGAUUUAUCGAAGGCAUAUGAUCGUGUCGAUUGGGACUUUUUGAAGAAAGCUCUUGGCAAGUGGGGCUUUGCCCAACAGUGGAUCUCAUGGAUUAUGGUUUGUGUGAAAUCUGUCAAAUAUUCGGUCAAAUUCAAUGGACAGCUACUGGAGAGUUUCAUCCCUUCUAGAGGAUUGAGGCAAGGUGAUCCCUUAUCACCGUUUUUAUUCCUUUUUGUUGCUGAUGCCCUAUCUGCUUUAUUCUCAAAAUCAGUUGAGGAAGGAUCCCUGAAGGGAGUGUCUAUAUGUCGUGGUGCACCAGUUAUUUCCCACUUGCUUUUUGCGGAUGAUACUAUGUUGAUGUUUGAAGCGUCUGGCCAGCAGGCGAGCAUUGUCAAGGGACUGUUGAACACUUAUACUUCAGCAACGGGUCAGCUCAUUAACCCAGAGAAGUGUUCCAUUCUUUUUUUAGACAACUGUUCGACUGUGGAGGCAGAUGAGAUCAAGCGCAUACUUGAGGUUACGCAACAGGUGUUUGAGCCAAAGUAUCUUGGUCUUCCGGUUCCGGAAGGGAGAUUGCAUAAGGGACAAUUUGAAUCAUUACAAGAAAGAUUGAGAAAAAGAUUAAUCGAUUGGAGUGAGCAAUAUGUCUCGUCGGGCAAUAAAGAAAUCUUGAUCAAGGCGGUGGCACAAGCAAUUCCCACGUAUGUUAUGAGUGUGUUCCGGCUACCGGCCUCUGUGUGUGAUGAUCUAACACGUAUGAUGAGACAGUAUUGGUGGGGUGUUGAACAAGGCAAGAGGAAGAUGGCUUGGCUUAGCUGGGAGAAGAUGAUUCUGCCCAAGGACAUGGGAGGUAUGGGAUUCAGAGAUAUGAGAGCGUUUAACCAGGCUUUACUGGCCAAGCAAGCCUGGAGAUUGCUCGAUAGCCCGGAUAGCUUAUGUGCACGCCUACUCCGGGCUAAAUACUAUCCCAAUGGAAAUCUUCUCGAUACAGUCUUCCCUUCUAGCUCGUCCGCUGUGUGGAAGGGAAUCUUGUUUGGACUUGAACUGCUA
Molecule: ribosomal RNA, 1410 nt
Filed under: Triticum aestivum (bread wheat)
Lineage: Eukaryota; Viridiplantae; Streptophyta; Magnoliopsida; Poales; Poaceae
Description: partial small subunit ribosomal RNA
Source: RNAcentral